Molecule: ribosomal RNA, 305 nt
Filed under: uncultured bacterium
Lineage: Bacteria
Description: partial 16S ribosomal RNA
Rfam family: Bacterial small subunit ribosomal RNA
Source: RNAcentral
ACAGCAGCAGCCGCGGUAAUGCGUAGGUGGCAAGCGUUGUCCGGAAUUGUUGGGCGUAAAGGGCUCGCAGGCGGUUUCUUAAGUCUGAUGUGAAAGCCCCCGGCUCAACCGGGGAGGGUCAUUGGGAACUGGGAAACUUGAGUGCAGAAGAGGAGAGUGGAAUUCCACGUGUAGCGGUGAAAUGCGUAGAGAUGUGGAGGAACACCAGUGGCGAAGGCGACUCUCUGGUCUGUAACUGACGCUGAGGAGCGAAAGCGUGGGGAGCGAACAGGAUUAGAUACCCGAGUAGUCCCUGUCUCUUAUAC